GGCGAUCAGAUACCGCCCUAGUUCUGACCGUAAACGAUGCCAACUAGCGAUCCGCCGGCGGAUAUUUCGCCCUGGUGGGGAGCUUCCCGGAAACGAAAGUCUUCCGGUUCCGGGGGAAGUAUGGUUGCAAAGCUGAAACUUAAAGGAAUUGACGGAAGGGCACCACCAGGAGUGGAGCCUGCGGCUUUAUUUGACUCAACACGGGAAAACUCACCCGGGCCGGACACCGUAAGGAUUGACAGAUUGAUAGCUUUUUCAUGAUUCGGUGGAUGGUGGUGCAUGGCCGUUCUUAGUUCGUGGAGCGAUUUGUCUGGUUUAUUCCGAUAACGAGCGAGACUCUAGCCUACUAAAUAGUUCGCACAUUGUCAAUGUGUGUGCGCCUACUUCUAAGAGGGAUUUGCGGUGUUCACCCGCACGAGAUUGAGCAAUAACAGGUCUGUGAUCCCCUUAGAUGUCCGGGGCUGCACGCGCGCUACACUGGCGAAAUCAGCGUGCUUGUCCUUUCUCGAAAGGGAUGGGUAAACCAUUGAAAAUUUGCCGUGAUUGGGAUCGGAAAUUGCAAUUAUUUUCCGUGAACGAGGAAUUCCAAGUGAGUGCGAGCCAUCAACUCGCGUUGAUUACGUCCCUGCCCUUUGUA
This 637-nucleotide ribosomal RNA is filed under the name Tylenchus cf. davainei RMNP LP2-46. RNAcentral's name for it is "SSU rRNA". It matches the Rfam family "Eukaryotic small subunit ribosomal RNA", at positions 1003 to 1664 of the family's 1831-position model. The record is from RNAcentral. Lineage: Eukaryota; Metazoa; Nematoda; Chromadorea; Rhabditida; Tylenchidae.